GACGAACGCUGGCGGCGUGCUUAACACAUGCAAGUCGAACGGAAAGGCCCUGCUUUUGUGGGGUGCUCGAGUGGCGAACGGGUGAGUAACACGUGAGUAACCUGCCCUUGACUUUGGGAUAACUUCAGGAAACUGGGGCUAAUACCGGAUAGGAGCUCCUGCUGCAUGGUGGGGGUUGGAAAGUUUCGGCGGUUGGGGAUGGACUCGCGGCUUAUCAGCUUGUUGGUGGGGUAGUGGCUUACCAAGGCUUUGACGGGUAGCCGGCCUGAGAGGGUGACCGGCCACAUUGGGACUGAGAUACGGACCAGACUCCUACGGGAGGCAGCAGGGGGGAAUAUUGCACAAUGGGCGGAAGCCUGAUGCAGCAACGCCGCGUGCGGGAUGACGGCCUUCGGGUUGUAAACCGCUUUCGCCUGUGACGAAGCGUGAGUGACGGUAAUGUGUAAAGAAGCACCGGCUAACUACGUG
Molecule: ribosomal RNA, 468 nt
Filed under: uncultured bacterium
Lineage: Bacteria
Description: partial 16S ribosomal RNA
Rfam family: Bacterial small subunit ribosomal RNA
Source: RNAcentral